GCCGUGCUGUAAUGGCGGCCGGACGGCUCGGUGCUGCUUCGUGCGGGCUGCGUGCCCCGCUGUGAGGGCCGGCUUGAGCUGAGCAUCUGGCUUGCACAAAGGCACCAAGGCUAAGGCAGGUCCACCUGUGUUUUCUGCAGAGGAUUCCUCUCGGUACUCUUAGGGAAGAAAAAGGCUUUGAAGCUGCUGACAUAAGCACUCAGUCCCUCCUGGUUCUCUGCUUGUCCUGCGCUUCUCUCAAUAGCAGAUAAAUGACCACAGGGAGAAACUGCUCACAGACCACUCUGCUCUGCACGGACUCACCUCCAUUUACAGAAAUAAGUGCACUGGCAAGGGCUUGACUCGUGUCAUCACCCAAGGUGAUGUUUAUACAGUACGUUCCAGGUUCAUCAAAAGCUCUCCUAAUGGUGAGUAAGCAUUCUUCAGUGACGACGAUGGGGUCACAUACCAUGCCCUGAGACACCUGGCACGUGGGGUCAGAAACUGCUGUACAGACAUCUGUAGGGAGACUGGGGUGGGAAGAGAGAAUAUGUUGCGUUGUGGAAUCCUGUUAGCCCCACUUAUGGACACCUUGCACUGCUGCCCCAGAUUUAUACUGAUGUUUGUUUGCUUAUCAGUGAUACCGUCGUGAUUAUGAAGAUGGCAUCUAUAUAUUAUCUAUAUGUAUUAUCUGUAUUUUAUGCAUAUAAUGUUUUGUGGUGA
Long non-coding RNA from Lagopus leucura (white-tailed ptarmigan), 702 nucleotides. RefSeq lists it as uncharacterized. The record is from RefSeq and is a predicted model, not a curated record. The transcript has 3 exons. NCBI's taxonomy places the organism in Eukaryota, Metazoa, Chordata, Aves, Galliformes, Phasianidae.